CAGUUUUAUUUUUAUGAUAAGACAGUGACAUAAAAGAUUAAUAACAGUCAAACAAUUUCUAAAUUAAGUUUUAGCAUGAUAAAAUCGAAAUAAUUUGGCAUGGGAUCAUUUACAAGUAAAGAUACUAGACGCAUUAGUUUUGAUAAUACAUUUGAAUUAAAUUCCGCUUUAGCUAUUCAUAAUUCUAUUCAAAACGAAAAUGUUAUGGGAUUAGAAAGGUUGCAGCCGGAUGUUGGUGAUGAAAUUAUUUUCAAGGGAAUUAAUAAGAAUUUGAAAGAAGAAUCUAAUGCAGAAGAUGACAUAAGUUACUGGUCUCGUAGAAUUGAAAAUCUUAAAAGGGAACAUCAAAUAAUUAAUCAAAUUGUCGAAGCAGAGUAUGAUGAAAAAAUUAAAAGUGCAAAUCAGAUUUUCCAGCCUCCUGAAAUAACUCACAAAAAGAUUCAAAAAAUUAAACCAUGUUUUGAUUGGAGAGCUAAGGCCCCAGAUAUCAACGACUUCACAAUAGUGAAGCCGAUAAGUCGUGGUGCUUUUGGAAAAGUAUUUCUUGCCCACAAAAAGAACAACCCGGAGCUAAUGUAUGCCAUCAAAGUUAUGAAAAAAUCAGAUAUGAUAAAUAAGAACAUGGUAACUCAAGUGGUGACAGAGCGUAAUGCUCUAGCAUUAUCGAGGAGUCCUUUCUGUGUCCAUUUAUAUUACUCCCUGCAGUCUACUUCAUCUGUUUAUUUGGUAAUGGAAUACAUGGUUGGUGGUGACUUGAAGUCUCUGCUGGGUGUGUAUGGAUUCCUUGAAGAAUCAAUGGCUGUUUUUUAUGUAGCCGAGGUCACAUUGGCUCUAGACUACUUGCACAAACAUAAUAUAGUGCACAGGGAUCUCAAGCCAGACAAUAUGCUAAUUUCAAAAACUGGACAUGUAAAGCUGACAGAUUUCGGAUUAUCUAAAAUUGAGAUACAUAGAGAUUUGGAGAUAUCUGACUUUGUCAACUGUACACCUAGUUUGAAUAUGAGGACACCUGGUCAACUAUUAUCACUAACUUCACAUUUGUCAUUUGGCUCAGGCGGUGGAGAUAGCAUGCAAAAUUCUGCAGUUUCAACCGAUACUUCUAAAUUGAGGGGUUUAUUUGGUGGCCCACAUGCUUCAGAAAAUUCACCAAUACUCGAUCACUCACAGUUGUCUGGAAUUCAUCCAUUUAUGAGUGCCGAAAGCAUUAAUUUAGAUGAUAAUACUCACGACUCAGGCUCAGAUUCUGUCAGUUCAUAUCACACAUGUGAAAGCUCAAAGAAUUCUAGGAGCAGCAAGUCAACAGAUAUGAGCAAUAACACUGGUUCCUCUGUGGCAGAGUCUGCAGCCUUUUCGGAUUCUCAACAUGAUCAGUCCACUUCGCCAUUAUGUAGGGGACAGUCUCUGAAAAGGAUUCCUAGUUUCAGAGCUAAGAAGAGAAAGCGAAUUUUAGAUUGCGAUGGUGACACGCCCACUGGUGUGGCCAGCCUUCUAGAAUCAAAAGUCAACCACAGUGGACUCACGCAGGAAAUAAUGGCGUUAGAGCUCAGUCAAAACACGCCAAAACGCAUGUCCAUUCACCCAACACCAGAUCGACGCAAAAAUCCAUUAAAAGGUGUCUUGAAAAAGAGAUGGGUUUCACAGAACGACAGUCAUCAUUUUAAUGUUGGAGUAAUUUUCUCAACACCAGUGUCGAAUAAUAAAUCGCAAGAAUCCAAGAAGAGGCUAAAAGAGACUAGAUUUAACCUUCCCAAAGAUGAUGUACCAGUUUCAAGCAUUCAAGAAAAAUCAAUAGUUUUUAGCAAGCAUAUUUCAAAUAGCUUAGAAAUAUUCCCAACUAGACGAUUGAGCAAAGGUGAAGGCAGCAGAUCCCCUACAGAACUAUGUAAAACCCCAUUAGCCACAGCACACACACCAUACAGAACUCCUAAAAGUGUCAGGAGAGGGAACCAGGUAUCGGAUCAGAGAAUUUUGGGUACUCCAGAUUAUUUAGCACCUGAAUUACUACUAAAACAAGGUCACGGCCCUCCCGUGGAUUGGUGGGCUCUGGGCGUAUGUCUCUACGAAUUCAUGACUGGCGUGCCGCCUUUCAACGAUGAGACACCUCAUGCAGUCUUCAACAACAUACUAUCACGAAAUAUCGAAUGGCCUGAAGACGACGAAGCCCUCUCGACAGAAGCUGUCAGCGCCAUAGAAGCAUUACUAACUAUGGAACCGCAGGAGAGGCCGGCGGCGGCACAAGUUAGAAACAUGCCCUUGUUCCGAAACAUAGACUGGGACAAUCAGCUAAGUGUCCAACCACCUUUUGUGCCUACUCCAGAUGACUUGCACGAUACAGGAUAUUUCCAAGCUCGCAACAUUUUGCAACAACUGCAAGUAUCCAAUUUCGACAUAUAGAUCCCUUAUCGCGGUGUAUAUGUCUCUCAAAUACUUAUAUUAUAUGAACAUUUAAUUUUGGGGACUCGCCGCGCUACGACGGAACAAGGAUUUCAUCGUGUAUCGUCAGGCUAUGUUGAACGGACCCCCAGAGUUUAUGUUGUGAUGCACACCAUAUUAUGCUGCGCAAAUAUUAUAGUCAAUUAAUGUGAUAUAUAAUUCUAUUAAACUAUUGUGUACAUAAUGUUAUUGUGUGGAUGCAAUAUGUAUUGAUAUUUUGAUAGGCUAUGAAUUUAUAUAAUCAAUGUUCGUUGUUGUUUAUUUAACUAUAUAAUAAUCAGUGUUCAUUUUAUUUAUAUCUGUAACAGAUUGUAUACAGGAAAUAAUAAAUAAAAACAUUGUGAAAA
This 2780-nucleotide unclassified non-coding RNA is filed under the name Manduca sexta (tobacco hornworm). RNAcentral's name for it is "serine/threonine-protein kinase greatwall, transcript variant X2". Lineage: Eukaryota; Metazoa; Arthropoda; Insecta; Lepidoptera; Sphingidae. The record is from RNAcentral.